RNAcentral lists this ribosomal RNA (501 nucleotides) under uncultured bacterium. Its description in RNAcentral is "partial 16S ribosomal RNA". It matches the Rfam family "Bacterial small subunit ribosomal RNA", at positions 899 to 1397 of the family's 1533-position model. The record is from RNAcentral.
ACUCAAAGGAAUUGACGGGGGCCCGCACAAGCGGUGGAGCAUGUGGUUCAAUUCGACGCAACGCGAAGAACCUUACCAGCCCUUGACAUGUGACUCGCCGGUCUCAGAGAUGAGACCUUCGGUUCGGCCGGAGUCAGCACAGGUGCUGCAUGGCUGUCGUCAGCUCGUGUCGUGAGAUGUUGGGUUAAGUCCCGCAACGAGCGCAACCCUCGUCUCCAGUUGCCAUCAGGUUAUGCUGGGCACUUUGGAGAAACUGCCGGUGACAAGCCGGAGGAAGGUGGGGAUGACGUCAAGUCCUCAGGGCCCUUACGGGCUGGGCUACACACGUGCUACAAUGGCGGUGACAAUGGGAUGCAAAGGCGCGAGCCGGAGCCGAUCCUAAAAAACCGUCUCAGUUCGGAUUGCACUCUGCAACUCGAGUGCAUGAAGGUGGAAUCGCUAGUAAUCGAGGAUCAGCAUGCCUCGGUGAAUACGUUCCCGGGCCUUGCACACACCGCCCGU